UACAGAGACCCCGAGCGUUAUCCGGCUUUAUUGGGCGUACAGCGUCUGUAGGCUGUUUUGUGUGUCGUGCGUCAAAUCUUCGGGCUCAACCCGGAGGCUGCGUGCGAAACUGCAAGACUAGAGAGUGGGAGAGGUAUAUGGAAUUACUGGUGUAGCGGUAAAAUGCGUUAAUAUCAGUAAGAACACCAAAGGCGAAGGCAAUAUACGGGAACAUUUCUGACGCUCAGAGACGAAAGCGUGGGUAGCGAAUGGG
Molecule: ribosomal RNA, 253 nt
Filed under: uncultured bacterium
Lineage: Bacteria
Description: partial 16S ribosomal RNA
Rfam family: Bacterial small subunit ribosomal RNA
Source: RNAcentral